CUGGCAGCACCUCCUGGGUCCUCAGCUGGAUUUCGGGACAAAAGGAGAAAAGGAAAACAAGAUGUUUUGGAUGGAGGGAUCACUGCUGGGCAGAGCUGCUCUCCAGAACAUCUUCAGCAGAGACAUCGCCUCCUCUAGGAUCUGCCUCAGAGUCUUGGUGUUGGACAGCAGACUCUUCACACAUCCAUAGUCCAGGAUCUGCAUGCAGAGCUCAGUUAGCAGUGGUGGGCUGAGGCAGGCCUGCAGGGUUGCCUCCAUGCGCUGGACGAGGCUACGGCCCUCUAGGACUUGCUGCUGAAGAGCACUGAAGUCAUCCACGUGACCGAUGGCGUGACGGCCGUUACGGUUUGCAAAUGAUCCGUCAGGGGCCUCCCCCUCCAACUCAGAGUGAGGGUCAAGAGGGUCAGCUGGGGAUAAAAGAGCUAAAAUGUAUUUUGGAAGGACUCUGAGUGACAUUACUGUAUUUUUUGUAUUGCAAGAGAGAAUUUUCGGAAUUGAUUAAAACAAUAUUUUGGCACAUUUGUUGUUACAGACCAAUGCAAUCUCAUUACAGUCCACAAUAAAGACAGGCAUGCAGUGCAGUUUAAGUCACACCAUUGGCUGUACUAUGGCUGUCGUCCAUGUCUGAGUAGGGAGGACCGGGAGAUCCACAGUUAAAGAGACCAAUGUCCCUGACUGGCGGGGAUGGAGCUGGGUCUGUGGAGCACACAGAUACCAAACCAGGCUUGGACACACAGCAAACCACACCACAGCACACUAAGCCUCUCAGACAUUUUGUGUAGUAAUAUGUUGGUGUUACAUCUUGAGGCCUCUGUCUCAC
Long non-coding RNA from Micropterus dolomieu (smallmouth bass), 820 nucleotides. RefSeq lists it as uncharacterized. The transcript is spliced from 3 exons. The record is from RefSeq and is a predicted model, not a curated record. Lineage: Eukaryota; Metazoa; Chordata; Actinopteri; Centrarchiformes; Centrarchidae.